Molecule: non-coding RNA, 70 nt
Organism: Parelaphostrongylus tenuis
Lineage: Eukaryota; Metazoa; Nematoda; Chromadorea; Rhabditida; Metastrongylidae
Source: the annotation of a GenBank genome assembly
UGGGUAGUGCAACGGUUAGCACGUGCUCCCAGAAAGAGUGAGAUGUGGGUUCGAAUUCCAGCCAGAUUAA